This 484-nucleotide ribosomal RNA is filed under the name uncultured bacterium. RNAcentral describes it as "partial 16S ribosomal RNA". It matches the Rfam family "Bacterial small subunit ribosomal RNA", at positions 28 to 507 of the family's 1533-position model. The record is from RNAcentral.
AUUGAACGCUGGCGGCAUGCUUUACACAUGCAAGUCGAACGGCAGCGCGGGCUUCGGCCUGGCGGCGAGUGGCGAACGGGUGAGUAAUGCAUCGGAACGUGCCCAGUAGUGGGGGAUAGCCCGGCGAAAGCCGGAUUAAUACCGCAUACGACCUGGGGGUGAAAGCGGGGGACCGAAAGGCCUCGCGCUAUUGGAGCGGCCGAUGUCGGAUUAGCUAGUUGGUGGGGGAAAGGCUUACCAAGGCGACGAUCCGUAGCUGGUCUGAGAGGACGACCAGCCACACUGGGACUGAGACACGGCCCAGACUCCUACGGGAGGCAGCAGUGGGGAAUUUUGGACAAUGGGGGCAACCCUGAUCCAGCCAUGCCGCGUGCGGGAAGAAGGCCUUCGGGUUGUAAACCGCUUUUGUUCGGGAAGAAAUCCUCUGGGCUAAUACCCCGGGGGGAUGACGGUACCGGAAGAAUAAGCACCGGCUAACUACGUG